UGUUCUGUAUUAUAUUUCUUGGGAAAAGUUUCUUUGUAAAUACCCCAGGAUCUGCAGUACACAUCUGCAUGAAAGACAUUGUCCUAUAGGGUAGUGUGCUUUUCUCUCUCCCUUAAGCUACAAAUCCUAGAGUGUCUAGUCUCUGAGGAUUCAAGCUAUAGGCCUCAAAGGCCUGGAACUUCAGGAGCAGUCAGUCUGAGGGGGUAGAAAGAGUGCGUGACCUACAACAAUCUCAGGGUAGCAAGGCAAACUUCAGACACACUAGAAGCAGGAAUAGAGGAAGUUCUGCAUAUUUUCUUUGUACUGCUGUGUCCAUUCCCUUAAAAGAUCAAGAAUACAAGCAUAGAAGGAAGCUUCAGUGAUAAACUACUUCGCCCACCAAAUACGUUUAUCAUCUGGACAUUGCUAAGACAAUGAUGGAUAUCAAACAAAUGAUCAACAAUUUCCACUGGUUCUACUGGCAAUUUCAACUGAUUACAAUGACACAUAUGAUGGAUUCCUUUGAAUGGUGGCUUUUCCACUCCCUUUUGUUUUUUACAGUGAUGCUGGUAGUAUUUAUUUUUUAUGUCAUUGUGCCUGUGCAAAUCCACUUGGCUCUAGAGACUGUUUGUCAUAUAUUUGGUUUACAGUGCAAAAGUAACAGACCAGCCAUCAUAUGAAUUUUCUACAUCUCACAGGGACUGUGUGAUUGUGUGGAUAGUUUUUUCUGGCUUAUAUUGUUGAGUUUUCAAAGCAACUUUUGGAGACUUUCUGGGAUAUACAAAUUAUUAUUAUUUUUUGGGAUCCAUGAAAGAAGUCUUGAAAAAAAAUCACAACAAUUGCAUCCAGCAAGU
Long non-coding RNA from Crotalus tigris (Tiger rattlesnake), 833 nucleotides. RefSeq lists it as uncharacterized. Lineage: Eukaryota; Metazoa; Chordata; Lepidosauria; Squamata; Viperidae. The transcript is spliced from 3 exons. The record is from RefSeq and is a predicted model, not a curated record.